UGCCUUCGUGUUACCCGUUCAUUUUAUUAAAUGAUGAAUGUGGCGUCAAACAAGGCAUACAGUAAUUUCCUUGCCCCUUAUAGUGCCCUGAAGUUAUUUCAUGGUACUGGGUUGCAUGGGAACAGUU
Molecule: small nucleolar RNA, 127 nt
Organism: Bufo bufo (common toad)
Lineage: Eukaryota; Metazoa; Chordata; Amphibia; Anura; Bufonidae
Product: small nucleolar RNA SNORA13
Exons: 1
Source: RefSeq, a predicted model, not a curated record